CCUUCAUGGAAUCACCUAUGAAUUUUCUAAUAAAAUGUAAUGCAUCAAAGAAUUUUAUACCAAUUAAGUACAUAGACACAAAUUUGUAGAACACCAUGCAUCAAGUUUCAAUAAAUGCACUCUCAUUCCAUUUUUAGGCAUCAUCCGAGGAGCUUGACUCAGUAGGACUGCCAAAUUAAGAUGUUAAAAUGAUGCUGGACCAAUAAGCCAUGAUGAUUUAAGCACGAUUAGUACAAGAUCUUCCAGGUUUUCAUGGGUCAAUUCAAAGUAUCUUCCUAAAAGAGACAGGCAUUAAUUAGUCAUUCAAACAAUAGACAUAUAUGAGGUUGAAGGCAGAGAUCAUCAUUGAAUUUAGAACUUUGGUUUUCUUGUUUAUUUUUACAGUUCAGGUAAAGAGCCUUCAUGUCCUUGGGUGAAUAAUAGUUGGUAGCUUCUAACAUGAUUGCACACUCAAACUGUGUACAGAAUGCAAGGACCCACAGGAGAGGAGCAAAACCAGGCUAGAGUACUGUUGGGAAAAUUUAGAUGCGUCGACUGAACAACUGUGACAACUGGACCUAACGUACCUACACAGUUGGAAAACUAAUAGAGAUUCUGGAAAGCCCUAUAAAUUCAAGACUCAAGCUCAAAACGACAAGGACCACAGACCAAUACGACAGUAAUGCAGAAAAAGGGUAUCACUCAGCCACUGCCAUACUACUAUUGACUCUGUCACCCACCUGACACUCUCCAAGAAAAACACCAAAAUACCCAGAAAAGAUUUUUAAAAAGAAGAGUAGCAGAGAUAAUAUCUGUCAAGAAAUAUGUCAUAAAUAAUGUGAUUCACAGGACAAGAAUCCCUUGAAAUACUCGCUCGGUGGCAUCCAUCUAGGAGUAUUAUUCAGUGGUAAACAAAGCACUGAAAGCUCAUAUACCUAGAACCGACAUAUAUACACUGCAUGAAGCAGUGUCGGUGCCAGGUAAAAAUAGAGAGAAAAUAAAGUCCAGAGAAA
This 992-nucleotide unclassified non-coding RNA is filed under the name Hevea brasiliensis (rubber tree). The record is from RNAcentral. Lineage: Eukaryota; Viridiplantae; Streptophyta; Magnoliopsida; Malpighiales; Euphorbiaceae.